GCCAGGUGUGGUGGCACGUGCCUGUAGUCCCAGCUACUUGGGAGGCUGAGGCAGGAGGAUUGCUUGAACCUGGGAGGUCGAGGCUGCAGUGAGCCCAGAUGGUGCCACUGCACUCUAGCCUGGGGAACAAAGCGAGACCCUGUCUCAA
Molecule: unclassified non-coding RNA, 148 nt
Organism: Pongo abelii (Sumatran orangutan)
Lineage: Eukaryota; Metazoa; Chordata; Mammalia; Primates; Hominidae
Rfam family: Metazoan signal recognition particle RNA
About the family: The signal recognition particle (SRP) is a universally conserved ribonucleoprotein.
Source: Ensembl